CCUACGGGUGGCAGCAGUGGGGAAUAUUGGACAAUGGGCGAAAGCCUGAUCCAGCCAUGCCGCGUGUGUGAAGAAGGCCUUCGGGUUGUAAAGCACUUUCAGUGGGGAAGAAAGCCUUGGGGCUAAUACCCUCGAGGAAGGACAUCACCCACAGAAGAAGCACCGUCUAACUCCGUGCCAGCAGCCGCGGUAAUACGGAGGGUGCGAGCGUUAAUCGGAAUUACUGGGCGUAAAGCGCGCGUAGGCGGUCUGAUAAGCCGGUUGUGAAAGCCCCGGGCUCAACCUGGGAACGGCAUCCGGAACGGUCAGGGUAGAGUGCAGGAGAGGAAGGUAGAAUUCCCGGUGUAGCGGUGAAAGGCGUAGAGAUCGGGAGGAAUACCAGUGGCGAAGGCGGCCUUCUGGACUGACACUGACGCUGAGGUGCGAAAGCGUGGGUAGCAAACAGGAUUAGAUACCCGGUAGUC
RNAcentral lists this ribosomal RNA (464 nucleotides) under Vreelandella stevensii. RNAcentral describes it as "partial 16S ribosomal RNA". It matches the Rfam family "Bacterial small subunit ribosomal RNA", at positions 338 to 795 of the family's 1533-position model. The record is from RNAcentral. Lineage: Bacteria; Pseudomonadati; Pseudomonadota; Gammaproteobacteria; Oceanospirillales; Halomonadaceae.